Molecule: unclassified non-coding RNA, 335 nt
Filed under: soil metagenome
Description: partial contains 5.8S ribosomal RNA, internal transcribed spacer 2, and large subunit ribosomal RNA
Rfam family: 5.8S ribosomal RNA (bases 1-120)
Source: RNAcentral
GAUGAAGAACGUAGCGAAAUGCGACAAGUAAUGUGAAUUGCAGAAUUCAGUGAAUCAUCGAAUCUUUGAACGCACAUUGCGCCCAUUAGUAUUCUAGUGGGCAUGCCUGUUCGAGCGUCAUUUCAACCCUUAAGCUUAGCUUAGUGUUGGGAGACUGCCUAACCGCAGCUCCUCAAAUUCAGUUGGCAGAGUGUAGGUGUGCUCUGAGCGUAGUAAUUCUUUAUCUCGCUUCUGAAAGCCUUAUACUGUCGCCACAAACCUAUUAUCUUUUUAAUGGUUGACCUCGGAUCAGGUAGGAAUACCCGCUGAACUUAAGCAUAUCAAUAAGCGGAGGA